AUGGUCACCACCACACUGCACGCCGCCGCCAUCUUCCUGCGGGGGCCCGGUGCGGACUGGGACUGGUUCAUCAACCUCUCCGCCUCCGACUACCCGCUCGUCACUCAGGACGAUCUGAUGGACGUCUUUUCGCGGCUGCCGCGUGACCUCAACUUCAUCGAGCACACGGGCGACCUGGGUUGGAAAGCCAUUGUCGGGAUCGCGACUGAGUCCGCCCUGAUUGUUCUUGCCAGGCCUGCGAGGGCGAUGCCGGUCGUCGUUGACCGUGGCCUCUACAUGAAGACGAAGCAAGAUCUGCUGUGGAUGAAUGAGACCGAGAAGCGGGAGCUGCCCACUGCUUUCACACUCUUCACUGUGGGUGGAGCCGUGCAGGAAGCCACUUUUCUAUCCAAAAUAGCUAUCAUCGCUCCUACUCCUGUGGUGGAACCAGGAUUCGAAUCGAGCUAG
Molecule: ribosomal RNA, 447 nt
Filed under: Triticum aestivum (bread wheat)
Lineage: Eukaryota; Viridiplantae; Streptophyta; Magnoliopsida; Poales; Poaceae
Description: partial small subunit ribosomal RNA
Source: RNAcentral